ACGCACGCUGGCGGCGUGCUUAACCCCUGCAAGUCGCACGGAAAGGCCCUGCUUUUGUGGGGUGCUCGAGUGGCGAACGGGUGAGUAACACGUGAGUAACCUGCCCUUGACUUUGGGAUAACUUCAGGAAACUGGGGCUAAUACCGGAUAGGAGCUCCUGCUGCAUGGUGGGGGUUGGAAAGUUUCGGCGGUUGGGGAUGGACUCGCGGCUUAUCAGCUUGUUGGUGGGGUAGUGGCUUACCAAGGCUUUGACGGGUAGCCGGCCUGAGAGGGUGACCGGCCACAUUGGGACUGAGAUACGGCCCAGACUCCUACGGGAGGCAGCAGUGGGGAAUAUUGCACAAUGGGCGGAAGCCGGAUGCAGCAACGCCGCGUGCGGGAUGACGGCCUUCGGGUUGUAAACCGCUUUCGCCUGUGACGAAGCGUGAGUGACGGUAAUGGGUAAAGAAGCACCGGCUAACUACGG
This 466-nucleotide ribosomal RNA is filed under the name uncultured bacterium. RNAcentral's name for it is "partial 16S ribosomal RNA". It matches the Rfam family "Bacterial small subunit ribosomal RNA", at positions 29 to 506 of the family's 1533-position model. The record is from RNAcentral.